UGAAGGACAGCCUUCUAGGAAGCUUUGGG
RNAcentral lists this non-coding RNA (29 nucleotides) under Homo sapiens (human). Lineage: Eukaryota; Metazoa; Chordata; Mammalia; Primates; Hominidae. The record is from RNAcentral.